UACGAAGGGGGCUAGCGUUGUUCGGAAUCACUGGGCGUAAAGCGCACGUAGGCGGACUGUUAAGUCAGGGGUGAAAUCCUGGGGCUCAACCCCAGAACUGCCCUUGAUACUGGCGGUCUUGAGUGUGGAAGAGGUUGGUGGAACUCCGAGUGUAGAGGUGAAAUUCGUAGAUAUUCGGAAGAACACCAGUGGCGAAGGCGGCCAACUGGUCCACUACUGACGCUGAGGUGCGAAAGCGUGGGGAGCAAACAGG
RNAcentral lists this ribosomal RNA (253 nucleotides) under uncultured bacterium. Its description in RNAcentral is "partial 16S ribosomal RNA". It matches the Rfam family "Bacterial small subunit ribosomal RNA", at positions 524 to 776 of the family's 1533-position model. The record is from RNAcentral. RNAcentral also lists the same sequence under 1 other name.